GGGGAAUAUUGCACAAUGGGCGCAAGCCUGAUGCAGCGACGCCGCGUGAGGGAUGAAGGCCUUCGGGUUGUAAACCUCUUUCGUCAGGGAACAAGGCACUACGUUUUGGUGGUGUUGAGGGUACCUGGAUAAGAAGCGCCGGCUAACUACGUGCCAGCAGCCGCGGUAAUACGUAGGGCGCAAGCGUUGUCCGGAAUUAUUGGGCGUAAAGAGCUCGUAGGCGGCUGGUCGCGUCUGUCGUGAAAACUUCCGGCUCAACCGGGGGCUUGCGGUGGGUACGGGCCGGCUAGAGUGCGGUAGGGGUAACUGGAACUCCUGGUGUAGCGGUGGAAUGCGCAGAUAUCAGGAAGAACACCGAUGGCGAAGGCAGGUUACUGGGCCGUUACUGACGCUGAGGAGCGAAAGCGUGGGGAGCGAACAGGAUUAGAUACCCUGGUAGUCCACGCUAUAAACGUUGGGCACUAGGUGUGAGGCUCCUUUCCGGGGGUUUUGCGCCGUAGCUAACGCAUUAAGUGCCCCGCCUGGGGAGUACGGCCGCAAGGCUA
RNAcentral lists this ribosomal RNA (545 nucleotides) under uncultured bacterium. RNAcentral describes it as "bacterial SSU rRNA". It matches the Rfam family "Bacterial small subunit ribosomal RNA", at positions 356 to 896 of the family's 1533-position model. The record is from RNAcentral.